RNAcentral lists this ribosomal RNA (468 nucleotides) under uncultured bacterium. Its description in RNAcentral is "partial 16S ribosomal RNA". It matches the Rfam family "Bacterial small subunit ribosomal RNA", at positions 28 to 507 of the family's 1533-position model. The record is from RNAcentral.
GACGAACGCUGGCGGCGUGCUUAACACAUGCAAGUCGAACGGAAAGGCCCUGCUUUUGUGGGGUGCUCGAGUGGCGAACGGGUGAGGAACACGUGAGUAACCUGCCCUUGACUUUGGGAUAACUUCAGGAAACGGGGGCUAAUACCGGAUAGGAGCUCCUGCUGCAUGGUGGGGGGUGGAAAGUUUCGGCGGGUGGGGAUGGACGCGCGGCUUAUCAGCUUGUUGGUGGGGGAGUGGCUUACCAAGGCUUUGACGGGUAGCCGGCCUGAGAGGGUGACCGGGCACAUUGGGACUGAGAUACGGCCCAGACUCCUAUGGGAGGCAGCAGUGGGGAAUAUUGCACAAUGGGAGGAAGCCUGAUGCAGAAACGCCGCGUGCGGGAUGACGGCCUUCGGGUUGUAAACCGCUUUCGCCUGUGACGAAGCGUUAGUGACGGUAAUGGGUAAAGAAGCACCGGCUAACUACGUG